AUGAUCGGUGGGUCUUCAUACCAAAGGGAAGACUGGAAGAAGGCAAGGAAGAAGAACUUUAGGAAUUGGGUCCCUCGUUGGGAUAUACAUUCGAUAAUCAAAAGAGUGGGCGAGUACUAUCCAAAAGGUGUGACUUCGAUUUAUUUCUCAGAAUUUCCAGAUGAUAGUAAGGCAGCAGAUUUCUUCGAUCUUUUUGGUUGUGUUGGGAAAGUGAUUGAGGUUGCGAUUUCGCCAAGGAGAAACAACGUAAGCAAGAGAUUUGGGUUUGCUAGAUUUUAG
Molecule: long non-coding RNA, 279 nt
Filed under: Vicia faba (fava bean)
Lineage: Eukaryota; Viridiplantae; Streptophyta; Magnoliopsida; Fabales; Fabaceae
Source: RNAcentral